This 424-nucleotide ribosomal RNA is filed under the name uncultured Bacteroidota bacterium. RNAcentral describes it as "bacterial SSU rRNA". It matches the Rfam family "Bacterial small subunit ribosomal RNA", at positions 355 to 776 of the family's 1533-position model. Lineage: Bacteria; Pseudomonadati; Bacteroidota. The record is from RNAcentral.
UGAGGAAUAUUGGUCAAUGGGCGAGAGCCUGAACCAGCCAUGCCGCGUGCAGGAAGACGGCCCUAUGGGUUGUAAACUGCUUUUGUUUGGGAAUAAAAGGCGCUACGUGUAGUGCACUGAAGGUACCAGAUGAAUAAGCAUCGGCUAACUCCGUGCCAGCAGCCGCGGUAAUACGGAGGAUGCGAGCGUUAUCCGGAUUUAUUAGGUUUAAAGGGUGUGUAGGCGGAAGACUAAGUCAGUGGUGAAAUCCCUCAGCUUAACUGGGGAACUGCCAUAGAUACUGGUUUUCUUGAGUACAGUUGAAGUAGGCGGAAUGUGUAAUGUAGCGGUGAAAUGCUUAGAUAUUACACAGAACACCGAUUGCGAAGGCAGCUUGCUAAGCUGUUACUGACGCUGAUGCACGAAAGCGUGGGGAGCGAACAGG